CUAAAUAGAAAAGAAAUGAGGGUUGG
This 26-nucleotide non-coding RNA is filed under the name Cricetulus griseus (Chinese hamster). Lineage: Eukaryota; Metazoa; Chordata; Mammalia; Rodentia; Cricetidae. The record is from RNAcentral.